CACUCUCUUUUCCUUCUGCAAAAUCCCUCCCCUCACGAACGACGAACGACGCAUGAUGAAAACCCCAACCUUAACCCCAUUCUUCUCAUCUCCACGUCCUUUCUUCUUGACAGAGACCCACGGCGAGGAGACCUAUAGCAUCGCUUGAAAUCAAGGCCAAGGGAGAUUUCAUGGCUAUGGGAGGAAGCUUUGAGAAAAAGAGAAUGAAAAUGAAUGGUAAUGUUGAUCUUGGAACUGCUUGUGGCAAGUAUUACCGUGUUUCUUGCCUUAGCAUUAUCAUCCAGAAAAUACAGUGCUGGAGGAAAAUACAGCUGCCAUGUUCAAUAUCAAUGAG
This is a long non-coding RNA of Cucumis melo (muskmelon), 334 nucleotides long. RefSeq lists it as uncharacterized. The record is from RefSeq and is a predicted model, not a curated record. NCBI's taxonomy places the organism in Eukaryota, Viridiplantae, Streptophyta, Magnoliopsida, Cucurbitales, Cucurbitaceae. The transcript has 4 exons.